Macaca fascicularis (crab-eating macaque) is the source of this 110-nucleotide microRNA precursor. The record is from Ensembl. Lineage: Eukaryota; Metazoa; Chordata; Mammalia; Primates; Cercopithecidae.
AUCAUUAAGAAAUGGUAUACAGGAAAAUGACCUAUGAAUUGACAGACACUAUAGCUGAGUUUGUCUGUCAUUUCUUUAGGCCAAUAUUCUGUAUGACUGUGCUACUUCAA